RNAcentral lists this long non-coding RNA (773 nucleotides) under Fukomys damarensis (Damara mole-rat). RNAcentral describes it as "lncRNA (ENSFDAG00000028345.1)". Lineage: Eukaryota; Metazoa; Chordata; Mammalia; Rodentia; Bathyergidae. The record is from RNAcentral.
GCACUUAGCACAGAACCUGGCACUUAAAUAUUCUCGAUGUUAAAUGUUAAAGUACUUAUUUACAAUAUUGUUAGUAGCAGAGGUCACAACUAAGUUCCUUUGAGGAAAAAUAGUCUACUACCAGCUUUAAAAGCAAUCCCUCAUUGUUCCCCCAUUGCUCCUGCUUUUCCUUACCCCUUCCUCAACACACACACACACACACACACACACACACACACACAGGCCAAAUACUGGUCACACUGAGGUCACCUCAAGAACACUUACAUUUAGAAGGGCUUUUCGUAAUUUCCAAGCUGUAAAAGUCAGGGAGAGCCCAGCUCUCUGAGAAUCUCAGCAGCAUUGUGUACACUUCUUCACUAUGAAAGAAAAAUUACAAUGCACCAUUAAUGCUUUUCUUGGUAGAAACCACGAGACUAAAUAAGAUGGCUUUCCUGCUUCCCAAGGUGUCUGAGAUGCAGAAGGAGUGAUCACACCUCCAUUCUAUGGAACUUGACUCUAAGGCUGGCUGUGCCGAAAGCUGCAAAGCUCGGAGACAAUGCGAAGCAGGACGAUCUCAGAGGAGAGAGGAAGAGCUCACAUCUGGAUACACUUGAGCACCUUCAGGUUCGAAGGGACCCAGAGAAAGCAGACACAAGAGGAAACAGGAGAAGGAAGAACGGGAGAAUUGUGCUAACCAUCGUGAAAAUGGGAAGUAGAACAGCGGUGGCCCACAGGACACGUGGACCUGUGCAUUGGUUUGAAAGAAGGCAUCCUCAUGAACAUCAGCAGCAGGA